This 432-nucleotide ribosomal RNA is filed under the name uncultured bacterium. Its description in RNAcentral is "partial 16S ribosomal RNA". It matches the Rfam family "Bacterial small subunit ribosomal RNA", at positions 29 to 507 of the family's 1533-position model. The record is from RNAcentral.
GCGCACGCUGGCGGCAGGCCUAACACCUGCAAGUCGAACGAACUCUUCGGAGUUAGUGGCGGACGGGUGAGUAACACGUGGGAACGUGCCUUUUGGUUCGGAAUAACUCAGGGAAACCUGUGCUAAUACCGAAUGUGCCCUUCGGGGGAAAGAUUUAUCGCCAUUAGAGCGGCCCGCGUCUGAUUAGCUAGUUGGUGAGGUAACGGCUCACCAAGGCGACGAUCAGUAGCUGGUCUGAGAGGAUGACCAGCCACACUGGGACUGAGACACGGCCCAGACUCCUACGGGAGGCAGCAGUGGGGAAUCUUGCGCAAUGGGCGAAAGCCUGACGCAGCCAUGCCGCGUGAAUGAUGAAGGUCUUAGGAUUGUAAAAUUCUUUCACCGGGGACGAUAAUGACGGUACCCGGAGAAGAAGCCCCGGCUAACUUCGUG